RNAcentral lists this ribosomal RNA (478 nucleotides) under uncultured bacterium. Its description in RNAcentral is "partial 16S ribosomal RNA". It matches the Rfam family "Bacterial small subunit ribosomal RNA", at positions 28 to 507 of the family's 1533-position model. The record is from RNAcentral.
GACGAACGCUGGUGGCGUGCUUAACACAUGCAAGUCGAACGGGAUUUAGUAAACAGAAGCCUCGGUGGAAGAUUACUAAUGAGAGUGGCGAACGGGUGAGUAACGCGUGAGCAACCUGCCUAUGACAGUGGGAUAGCCUCGGGAAACCGGGAUUAAUACCGCAUAAAAUCGUAGAAACACAUGUUUUAACGGUCAAAGAUUUAUCGGUCAUAGAUGGGCUCGCGUCUGAUUAGCUAGUUGGUGAGAUAACAGCCCACCAAGGCGACGAUCAGUAGCCGGUCUGAGAGGAUGAACGGCCACAUUGGAACUGAAACACGGUCCAAACUCCUACGGGAGGCAGCAGUGGGGAAUAUUGCACAAUGGGGGAAACCCUGAUGCAGCGACGCCGCGUGAACGAAGAAGGUAUUCGUAUCGUAAAGUUCUGUCCUAUGGGAAGAUAAUGACAGUACCAUAGAAGAAAGCUCCGGCUAAAUACGUG